RNAcentral lists this ribosomal RNA (251 nucleotides) under uncultured prokaryote. Its description in RNAcentral is "partial 16S rRNA". It matches the Rfam family "Bacterial small subunit ribosomal RNA", at positions 525 to 775 of the family's 1533-position model. The record is from RNAcentral.
ACGGAGGAUCCGAGCGUUAUCCGGAUUUAUUGGGUUUAAAGGGUGCGUAGGCUGGUUUUUAAGUCAGCUGUGAAAUACCGACGCUUACCGUCGGCACUGCAGUUGAAACUGGGAGCCUUGAGAGUGCAAGAGGCAUGCGGAAUUCAUGGUGUAGCGGGGAAAUGCAUAGAUAUCAUGAAGAACUCCGAUUGCGACAGCAACAUACUAGGACAUAUCUGACGCUGAGCCACGAAAGUGAGGAAAUCAAACAG